RNAcentral lists this RNase P RNA (430 nucleotides) under Pseudanabaena cinerea FACHB-1277. Its description in RNAcentral is "Bacterial RNase P class A". It matches the Rfam family "Bacterial RNase P class A". From Rfam's summary of the family: Ribonuclease P (RNase P) is a ubiquitous endoribonuclease, found in archaea, bacteria and eukarya as well as chloroplasts and mitochondria. Its best characterised activity is the generation of mature 5'-ends of tRNAs by cleaving the 5'-leader elements of precursor-tRNAs. Cellular RNase Ps are ribonucleoproteins. Lineage: Bacteria; Bacillati; Cyanobacteriota; Cyanophyceae; Pseudanabaenales; Pseudanabaenaceae. The record is from Rfam by way of RNAcentral.
AAGAGUAGGCGUGCAGUUGCGGGUAAUGAGCCUAUAGCUGAUUACCUGAGGAAAGUCCGGGCUUCCAUGGAGAUCAGACUGCUGGAUAACGCCCAGUGCGAGCGAUCGCGAGGAUAGUGCCACAGAAAAAUACCGCCAUUUAUAGAAAUAUCGCGAAGCGAUAUUUCUAUAAAUGGUAAGGGUGCAAAGGUGUGUUAAGAGCGCACCAGCAGGGUCGAGAGGCUCUGGCUCGGUAAACCCCAGUCGGAAGCAAGGCGAGAGAAUAGGGAUAUGACGAUCUUCCUUGAAUCCUAUAUUCGUUGCUUGAGGCGAUCGCGUGUCAAGUGUGUGCCGCAAGAGGUAUCUGGCAACAGGUAUCCCAGAUAGAUAACUGCUAAAAAUGUUGAUAAAACCUUUGAAACAGAACCCGGCUUAUGUCUUGCUCUUCUUA